Molecule: long non-coding RNA, 407 nt
Organism: Telopea speciosissima
Lineage: Eukaryota; Viridiplantae; Streptophyta; Magnoliopsida; Proteales; Proteaceae
Exons: 4
Source: RefSeq, a predicted model, not a curated record
ACUGAAACUCCAGUGGAGAAGACAGAGGAGUAGGAUACCAUGGAUGGAUGGAUGGAUUACAUAUCUGAGUGUGACAGUGUUGGGUUUCAAGUGUCUUUUAGUUUAGAUUUCUCAAGUGGUGGUUUGAUUGUGAUAUUUGGAUCUAUUUAAUUAAGAUAAGAAUGUAGAGUGGCGAGUGAGGGAACUUAUUGGAAGCUAGGAAUAGGAAUAAAUCUCUUGGGCCCACAAAUUACAUAUCAGUGUCCACGUGGCAAACUUUUAUUGGAAGGAAGAGUUUGUAUCUUUUUUCUGCCAUGUGGUGGGUAGUGUUACUUUGUUGGAUCCAAGUAAAGUCGAUGGAUCUGGUGUUAUGCAUGUAAGUUAAUAUAGUAUAAUAAUAAUAAUAUUAUAUUAGCAUCAUUAGUCGC